AACGAACGCUGGCGGCAUGCCUAACACAUGCCAGUCGAACGAGACCUUCGGGUCUAGUGGCGCACGGGUGCGUAACGCGUGGGAACCUGCCCUUAGGUUCGGAAUAACUCCCCGAAAGGGGUGCUAAUACCGGAUAAUGUCUUCGGACCAAAGAUUUAUCGCCUUUGGAUGGGCCCGCGUUGGAUUAGCUAGUUGGUAGGGUAAAAGCCUACCAAGGCGACGAUCCAUAGCUGGUCUGAGAGGAUGAUCAGCCACACUGGGACUGAGACACGGCCCAGACUCCCCCGGGGGGGGGGAGGGGGGAAAUUUGGACAAGGGGCGAAAGCCUGACCCGGCAAUGCCGGGUGGGUGAUGAAGGCCUUGGGGUUGUAAAGCUCUUUUACCCGGGAUGAUAAGGACAGUACGGGGAAAAAAAGCCCCGGCAAACUCCGG
RNAcentral lists this ribosomal RNA (432 nucleotides) under uncultured bacterium. RNAcentral describes it as "partial 16S ribosomal RNA". It matches the Rfam family "Bacterial small subunit ribosomal RNA", at positions 29 to 506 of the family's 1533-position model. The record is from RNAcentral.